UACAGAGGUCUCGAGCGUUGUUCGGAUUCAUUGGGCGUAAAGGGCGCGUAGGCUGCGGGGUAAGUCAGGUGUGAAAUCUCAGAGCUCAACUCUGAAAUUGCACUUGAUACUGCUCUGCUAGAGGACUGGAGAGGAGAUUGGAAUUCACGGUGUAGCAGUGAAAUGCGUAGAUAUCGUGAGGAAGACCGGUGGCGAAGGCGGAUCUCUGGACAGUUCCUGACGCUGAGGCGCGAAGGCCAGGGGAGCAAACGGG
Molecule: ribosomal RNA, 253 nt
Filed under: uncultured bacterium
Lineage: Bacteria
Description: partial 16S ribosomal RNA
Rfam family: Bacterial small subunit ribosomal RNA
Source: RNAcentral